GUAAACCAAGUAUCUUGCAGCUGAUUAAAAACCAUGCUUUCUCCUCAAUUCACCUCAGGUUUUCCCUGGCUUGCACAGCAGCAUCUGGUAACAACAUAACUUCCUUUAUUUAGACCCGUCAGAGGAGGAACUCAGGUUUAUUUGUGCCUGAAUCUCUGUUACUUUCUGCAGGGACUGGCUCAUCUCAAAAGAAGGCAAAUUAAACACUGGCAAAACUGUGUAGAAAGUAAAAGCUCACACCUGCAUGGAGGACCAGACAAGACAGGGGACUCUAAACUGACCAGCAAGUUACUCCAUUCCAC
Molecule: long non-coding RNA, 302 nt
Organism: Pogoniulus pusillus (Red-fronted tinkerbird)
Lineage: Eukaryota; Metazoa; Chordata; Aves; Piciformes; Lybiidae
Exons: 3
Source: RefSeq, a predicted model, not a curated record